Molecule: vault RNA, 93 nt
Filed under: Amphilophus citrinellus (Midas cichlid)
Lineage: Eukaryota; Metazoa; Chordata; Actinopteri; Cichliformes; Cichlidae
Description: Vault RNA (ENSACIG00000003830.1)
Rfam family: Vault RNA
About the family: This family of RNAs are found as part of the enigmatic vault ribonucleoprotein complex.
Source: RNAcentral
GUGCUGGUUUAACUCAGCGGUUGCUUCUCAGCAACUGUUGAACGCUUCGCUCUCGCCACAGGGAUCAAACCACGGGCGCUGUCCAGUGUGUUU